UUUACGUGAUGACGUACCUUCCGACGUCUUAUGAAACAAUGAUGGCGACCUCCAUCGGCCGUGGCUCGUGACUGUCCGACCGUUCACAUCAACCAGCAAUCCCUGGUUAUCGCGUUACAAGUAACUCUCGAUUGACAAGUUGGUUUCUUCGCAUUUGUCGACUUUCUUUCUAGAGAACAUGAAUCUGCACAAACUGUCCUCGCGACUGUGCCCAACAGUAACACAGAAGUUCAGGCAUCUCCACAUCCAAAGCAGUGGCCAGCAGCUGGAGGCAGUUGCUGUGGAAACAGAAUCAACUGAACCAAAUCCGCUGUCAGUCUUCAGAACUUCAGAGCAGGAUCCUGUA
This is a long non-coding RNA of Sinocyclocheilus grahami, 346 nucleotides long. RefSeq lists it as uncharacterized. Lineage: Eukaryota; Metazoa; Chordata; Actinopteri; Cypriniformes; Cyprinidae. The transcript has 3 exons. The record is from RefSeq and is a predicted model, not a curated record.